AUUAUUAUGGACCCUAUUGUAAAACUUCCAAGUAAAGGGAACGUGCUCAUUUAUUCUGGACGCGAUCGUAGGAGUGCAACUCUAAAAGCCUUGCACUCAGCCGACUGCCCAUGCGCAGCUGUUGCAUUCCAAAGCUUUUUAUUUGCCAAAAAUAAGCUUUCCUAAUCUAAUUAGAUUUCCGGCUUAAGCAGAUGAUUUAUUUCUGCUCAAGUCUUACUCAAGAUCGGAUGCACGUCGCUCUAAAGCACUUAUAAUAUUUAAUAAGGUCACGUGUUAGACCCAAAAUAUUUAAUCGGAAGACAUCGUCUCCAUAUAAAAACUGUGCGAUUUAUUCGAGGUGUCGGACUAUUUUAAAACCCCCACCUAAGCGCGCCGCCGUGAUUAUUUUGAUUGUUUUUAUAUUUUGGUGCAAUUUGGCAUUUACACCAGUGAAACUGCCUCGACAUAUAUUGGUGGCUUUUGUUUUGGGCUACCAACGCAUUUGCGAAAUUUUGGUACGCUUACCUAGCCCAGAUCGCAGCGUCGGCGCUAGGAACACGUGUGUUAAGGCCCAGCAUGGGCAGGCGUUAGAGACACGCCCGGCUAGCUCAGUUGCUAGAGCAUGAACUGAUGCUAGAGCCCAACACCAGCUCUACUGAACCCCAGAAUUUGACUCCAAUGCGCGCACUAUAAGCUGAUCUUUCGUAUUAAAACAUGGCGCUUGCCAAAUCCACCUCCAGUUCAAAUGGUUUUAGAUCUGACUGCACCUAAUUGAAAGAGACACACAGACCACAAUCUUUGUAUCGAUGGGAUAAGUCAUAUUUGCAAAUAAUCUUAAUUUAAUAGGUUAAAUCUAAUUCUGUUUUCUUUUUACGUCUUAUAAAGCCUCGGUGCGCUAUGAGUGUAUUGUUGCAAACAUAAUAUGCCAAUUUGUACCAACAGCCAAUCAUCGUCAACAGGCCUGCUGACAUCGAUGGACUCUGAAUGUUGUAAGUACGGCACAGUCGAAAAUAUUAAGUGUAAAAGGUCAUAAAUUGAGUGCAACAAUAGCAUAGCAAUCCGCUAGAAAACGUUUGUUUACUUAAAACGCCUAUAAUUGAAUGCGGCGUACAUUUUGUUAGUAUACUUAACUAUUCACCUUUAUUCUUGUAUAUAUCACUUCCUAAUUAUAAGUAAUUUUGUAAAAACACUUCUUAUUUUCCUUAUCUUACUUAAACUUCCUAUCUUAAUCAAUAUGAAUUGUUUCUAAAGAUGAA
Scaptodrosophila lebanonensis is the source of this 1235-nucleotide long non-coding RNA. RefSeq lists it as uncharacterized. Lineage: Eukaryota; Metazoa; Arthropoda; Insecta; Diptera; Drosophilidae. The transcript is spliced from 2 exons. The record is from RefSeq and is a predicted model, not a curated record.